Molecule: ribosomal RNA, 492 nt
Filed under: uncultured bacterium
Lineage: Bacteria
Description: partial 16S ribosomal RNA
Rfam family: Bacterial small subunit ribosomal RNA
Source: RNAcentral
AGUGAACGCUGGCGGUAGGCCUAACACAUGCAAGUCGAACGGCAGCACAGUAAGAGCUUGCUCUUACGGGUGGCGAGUGGCGGACGGGUGAGGAAUACAUCGGAAUCUACUUUUUCGUGGGGGAUAACGUAGGGAAACUUACGCUAAUACCGCAUACGACCUACGGGUGAAAGCAGGGGAUCUUCGGACCUUGCGCGAUUGAAUGAGCCGAUGUCGGAUUAGCUAGUUGGCGGGGUAAAGGCCCACCAAGGCGACGAUCCGUAGCUGGUCUGAGAGGAUGAUCAGCCACACUGGAAAUGAGACACGGUCCAGACUCCUACGGGAGGCAGCAGUGGGGAAUAUUGGACAAUGGGCGCAAGACUGAUCCAGCAAUACCGCGUGGGUGAAGAAGGCCUUCGGGUUGUAAAGCCCUUUUGUUGGGAAAGAAAAGCAGCAGGUUAAUACCCCGCUGUUCUGACGGUACCCAAAGAAUAAGCACCGGCUAACUUCGUG